CCAGGGAUCCAAUUUCUUUCUUCUAGGAUCCACAUCUUAAAGGUUUCAUCACCUCUCAUAGCAUCAUGGGCUGGAGGCAAAGAAUUCAACACAAGAGCAUUUGGAGAGCUUUCAAGAUUCAAACUAUAGUAUGGCUAGCAGCUGGUGGGAAAGAUGGGCUCCAAAGAUAAAAGUGCUUUGGAUCAUUGGAAGAAUGAAUCUUUCUUGGAACCAAGGUUUUACAUACCUGUUGAAUCACCUACAAUUAGGAAAGUGAAUAUAUUUAUGACUCAUUUGUGGUGUCUUAUACACCCUUUCUGCCUUUCUUUCCCCACCCAAUCCUUGUUCAAAAGCAACCACUCACCU
RNAcentral lists this long non-coding RNA (345 nucleotides) under Fukomys damarensis (Damara mole-rat). RNAcentral's name for it is "lncRNA (ENSFDAG00000022933.1)". The record is from RNAcentral. Lineage: Eukaryota; Metazoa; Chordata; Mammalia; Rodentia; Bathyergidae.